Long non-coding RNA from Chinchilla lanigera (long-tailed chinchilla), 494 nucleotides. RefSeq lists it as uncharacterized. The record is from RefSeq and is a predicted model, not a curated record. The transcript has 2 exons. Lineage: Eukaryota; Metazoa; Chordata; Mammalia; Rodentia; Chinchillidae.
CUGAGACCUUUAACCCCCUGUUGUGAGACAAAAAGAAAAUGUCCCCCACAGGUCCGCGGAUGCACAGUAUUGGACACCUUGAAGUUCAGCCCAUCGAGUUCACUCCCGCUGGCUGCGGUGUGAGAGCUGCACGCCGGAUGGUGAGAAUGAGACGACACGCUGCUGUAUUUUGGGGGACUUUGGAACAGCUCCCGAAGCCCGGGUCUUGAAGGCAUGGUCUGCCACUGGGUGCUAUUGGGAGGCGUGGGACCUUUAAGAGGCGGGGCUAGUGGGAGGAAGUGUGGUCAUGGGGGCGUGGUCUCGAGGGAACGGCUGGGUCACGGUCCCAUCCUGUCUUUUUUGCUCCCUGUCCUGGAGGGGAGCCGCCUUGUGUCACCACACGCUCCCCGCUGAUGUGCUGGGCAGGCACCAGCCCAAAGCACCCAGGGUUCCGACCGUGGACUGGAACUUCUCAAACCGUGAGCCAAAAUAAACCUUUCCUGUCUAAAAACUGA